Molecule: ribosomal RNA, 2905 nt
Filed under: Salmonella enterica subsp. enterica serovar Dublin
Lineage: Bacteria; Pseudomonadati; Pseudomonadota; Gammaproteobacteria; Enterobacterales; Enterobacteriaceae
Description: bacterial LSU rRNA
Rfam family: Bacterial large subunit ribosomal RNA
Source: RNAcentral
GGGUUGUGAGGUUAAGCGACUAAGCGUACACGGUGGAUGCCCUGGCAGUCAGAGGCGAUGAAGGGCGUGCUAAUCUGCGAUAAGCGCCGGUAAGGUGAUAUGAACCGUUAUAACCGGCGAUACCCGAAUGGGGAAACCCAGUGUGAUUCGUCACACUAUCAUUAACUGAAUCCAUAGGUUAAUGAGGCGAACCGGGGGAACUGAAACAUCUAAGUACCCCGAGGAAAAGAAAUCAACCGAGAUUCCCCCAGUAGCGGCGAGCGAACGGGGAGGAGCCCAGAGCCUGAAUCAGCAUGUGUGUUAGUGGAAGCGUCUGGAAAGGCGCGCGAUACAGGGUGACAGCCCCGUACACAAAAGCGCAUGUGCUGUGAGCUCGAUGAGUAGGGCGGGACACGUGGUAUCCUGUCUGAAUAUGGGGGGACCAUCCUCCAAGGCUAAAUACUCCUGACUGACCGAUAGUGAACCAGUACCGUGAGGGAAAGGCGAAAAGAACCCCGGCGAGGGGAGUGAAAAAGAACCUGAAACCGUGUACGUACAAGCAGUGGGAGCGCGACUGCGUACCUUUUGUAUAAUGGGUCAGCGACUUAUAUUCUGUAGCAAGGUUAACCGAAUAGGGGAGCCGGAGGGAAACCGAGUCUUAAUUGGGCGUUAAGUUGCAGGGUAUAGACCCGAAACCCGGUGAUCUAGCCAUGGGCAGGUUGAAGGUUGGGUAACACUAACUGGAGGACCGAACCGACUAAUGUUGAAAAAUUAGCGGAUGACCUGUGGCUGGGGGUGAAAGGCCAAUCAAACCGGGAGAUAGCUGGUUCUCCCCGAAAGCUAUUUAGGUAGCGCCUCGUGAAUUCAUCUCCGGGGGUAGAGCACUGUUUCGGCUAGGGGGCCAUCCCGGCUUACCAACCCGAUGCAAACUGCGAAUACCGGAGAAUGUUAUCACGGGAGACACACGGCGGGUGCUAACGUCCGUCGUGAAGAGGGAAACAACCCAGACCGCCAGCUAAGGUCCCAAAGUCAUGGUUAAGUGGGAAACGAUGUGGGAAGGCCCAGACAGCCAGGAUGUUGGCUUAGAAGCAGCCAUCAUUUAAAGAAAGCGUAAUAGCUCACUGGUCGAGUCGGCCUGCGCGGAAGAUGUAACGGGGCUAAACCAUGCACCGAAGCUGCGGCAGCGANNGUUGGGUAGGGGAGCGUUCUGUAAGCCUGUGAAGGUGUGUCGUGAGGCAUGCUGGAGGUAUCAGAAGUGCGAAUGCUGACAUAAGUAACGAUAAAGCGGGUGAAAAGCCCGCUCGCCGGAAGACCAAGGGUUCCUGUCCAACGUUAAUCGGGGCAGGGUGAGUCGACCCCUAAGGCGAGGCCGAAAGGCGUAGUCGAUGGGAAACGGGUUAAUAUUCCCGUACUUGGUGUUACUGCGAAGGGGGGACGGAGAAGGCUAUGUUGGCCGGGCGACGGUUGUCCCGGUUUAAGCGUGUAGGUGUGUGUUCCAGGUAAAUCCGGUUCACUUUAACACUGAGGCGUGAUGACGAGGCACUACGGUGCUGAAGUAACAAAUGCCCUGCUUCCAGGAAAAGCCUCUAAGCAUCAGGUAACAUCAAAUCGUACCCCAAACCGACACAGGUGGUCAGGUAGAGAAUACCAAGGCGCUUGAGAGAACUCGGGUGAAGGAACUAGGCAAAAUGGUGCCGUAACUUCGGGAGAAGGCACGCUGACACGUAGGUGAAGUGAUUUACUCAUGGAGCUGAAGUCAGUCGAAGAUACCAGCUGGCUGCAACUGUUUAUUAAAAACACAGCACUGUGCAAACACGAAAGUGGACGUAUACGGUGUGACGCCUGCCCGGUGCCGGAAGGUUAAUUGAUGGGGUCAGCGCAAGCGAAGCUCCUGAUCGAAGCCCCGGUAAACGGCGGCCGUAACUAUAACGGUCCUAAGGUAGCGAAAUUCCUUGUCGGGUAAGUUCCGACCUGCACGAAUGGCGUAAUGAUGGCCAGGCUGUCUCCACCCGAGACUCAGUGAAAUUGAACUCGCUGUGAAGAUGCAGUGUACCCGCGGCAAGACGGAAAGACCCCGUGAACCUUUACUAUAGCUUGACACUGAACAUUGAGCCUUGAUGUGUAGGAUAGGUGGGAGGCUUUGAAGUGUGGACGCCAGUCUGCAUGGAGCCGACCUUGAAAUACCACCCUUUAAUGUUUGAUGUUCUAACGUGGACCCGUGAUCCGGGUUGCGGACAGUGUCUGGUGGGUAGUUUGACUGGGGCGGUCUCCUCCUAAAGAGUAACGGAGGAGCACGAAGGUUGGCUAAUCCUGGUCGGACAUCAGGAGGUUAGUGCAAUGGCAUAAGCCAGCUUGACUGCGAGCGUGACGGCGCGAGCAGGUGCGAAAGCAGGUCAUAGUGAUCCGGUGGUUCUGAAUGGAAGGGCCAUCGCUCAACGGAUAAAAGGUACUCCGGGGAUAACAGGCUGAUACCGCCCAAGAGUUCAUAUCGACGGCGGUGUUUGGCACCUCGAUGUCGGCUCAUCACAUCCUGGGGCUGAAGUAGGUCCCAAGGGUAUGGCUGUUCGCCAUUUAAAGUGGUACGCGAGCUGGGUUUAGAACGUCGUGAGACAGUUCGGUCCCUAUCUGCCGUGGGCGCUGGAGAACUGAGGGGGGCUGCUCCUAGUACGAGAGGACCGGAGUGGACGCAUCACUGGUGUUCGGGUUGUCAUGCCAAUGGCACUGCCCGGUAGCUAAAUGCGGAAGAGAUAAGUGCUGAAAGCAUCUAAGCACGAAACUUGCCCCGAGAUGAGUUCUCCCUGAGACUUAAAGUCUCCUGAAGGAACGUUGAAGACGACGACGUUGAUAGGCCGGGUGUGUAAGCGCAGCGAUGCGUUGAGCUAACCGGUACUAAUGAACCGUGAGGCUUAACCCUACAACGCCGAAG